This 711-nucleotide small RNA is filed under the name uncultured Malassezia. RNAcentral's name for it is "eukaryotic LSU rRNA". The stretch from base 221 to 374 matches the Rfam family "5.8S ribosomal RNA". Lineage: Eukaryota; Fungi; Basidiomycota; Malasseziomycetes; Malasseziales; Malasseziaceae. The record is from RNAcentral.
UGAUCAUUAGUGAAGAUUUGGGCAGGCCAUACGGACGCCAAAAAGUGUCCCUGGCCGCCUACACCCACUAUACAUCCACAAACCCGUGUGCACUGUCUUGGAGAAAGGCUUCAGAGAAGUUUUUUGUGGCCUCUCUUGGGGUCUUUCUUCGCUACAAACUCGAAUGGUUAGUAUGAACGUGGAACUUGGUUGGACCGUCACUGGCCAACAAACUAUACACAACUUUCGACAACGGAUCUCUUGGUUCUCCCAUCGAUGAAGAACGCAGCGAAACGCGAUAGGUAAUGUGAAUUGCAGAAUUCCGUGAAUCAUCGAAUCUUUGAACGCACCUUGCGCUCUAUGGCAAUCCGUAGAGCAUGCCUGUUUGAGUGCCAUGAAAUCUCCCACCCCAAGCGGUUUUUACAUGAAACGGCUUGGCGGAUGGGGUCUGGAUGGGUGCCUCUGCCUGCGCUACCUAGCACAGGCUCGCCCGAAAUGCAUGAGCGCCUUGAGACACUUUGCAUCCGCCUCUCUGUUUGGGAGGAGGCGGCCAAGCAGUGUUUUUCUCCUGGCAUGGCAUGAUACGUCAUUUGCUAUGUCGCCUAAAGGAGGAAUGUUUGGUUGUGUCUGCGUGUGCUUCGAACUUGCCUCUGUGGCACAUCCCAAUUUCACUUCUGGUCUCAAAUCAGGUAGGAUCACCCGCUGAACUUAAGCAUAUCAAUAAGCGGAGGA